Molecule: ribosomal RNA, 484 nt
Filed under: uncultured bacterium
Lineage: Bacteria
Description: partial 16S ribosomal RNA
Rfam family: Bacterial small subunit ribosomal RNA
Source: RNAcentral
AUUGAACGCUGGCGGCAGGCCUAACACAUGCGAGUCGAGCGGAUGAAGGGAGCUUGCUCCUGGAUUCAGCGGCGGACGGGUGAGUAAUGCCUAGGAAUCUGCCUGGUAGUGGGGGAUAACGUCCGGAAACGGGCGCUAAUACCGCAUACGUCCUGAGGGAGAAAGUGGGGGAUCUUCGGACCUCACGCUAUCAGAUGAGCCUAGGUCGGAUUAGCUAGUUGGUGGGGUAAAGGCCUACCAAGGCGACGAUCCGUAACUAGUCUGAGAGGAUGAUCAGUCACACUGGAACUGAGACACGGUCCAGACUCCUACGGGAGGCAGCAGUGGGGAAUAUUGGACAAUGGGCGAAAGCCUGAUCCAGCCAUGCCGCGUGUGUGAAGAAGGUCUUCGGAUUGUAAAGCACUUUAAGUUGGGAGGAAGGGCAGUAAGUUAAUACCUUGCUGUUUUGACGUUACCAACAGAAUAAGCACCGGCUAACUUCGUG